AUGCACGCUGGCGGCGUGCCUCAUACCUGCCAGUCGAGCGAACAGACGAGGAGCUUGCUCCUCUGACGUUAGCGGCGGACGGGUGAGUAACACGUGGAUAACCUACCUAUAAGACUGGGAUAACUUCGGGAAACCGGAGCUAAUACCGGAUAAUAUAUUUAACCGCAUGGUUCAAUAGUGAAAGUCGGUUUUGCUGUCACUUAUAGAUGGAUCCGCGCCGCAUUAGCUAGUUGGUAAGGUAACGGCUUACCAAGGCAACGAUGCGUAGCCGACCUGAGAGGGUGAUCGGCCACACUGGAACUGAGACACGGUCCAGACUCCUACGGGAGGCAGCAGUAGGGAAUCUUCCGCAAUGGGCGAAAGCCUGACGGAGCAACGCCGCGUGAGUGAUGAAGGUCUUCGGAUCGUAAAACUCUGUUAUUAGGGAAGAACAAAUGUGUAAGUAACUAUGCACGUCUUGACGGUACCUAAUCAGAAAGCCACGGCUAACUACGUG
RNAcentral lists this ribosomal RNA (496 nucleotides) under uncultured bacterium. RNAcentral describes it as "partial 16S ribosomal RNA". It matches the Rfam family "Bacterial small subunit ribosomal RNA", at positions 29 to 507 of the family's 1533-position model. The record is from RNAcentral.